Molecule: long non-coding RNA, 1739 nt
Filed under: Calidris pugnax (ruff)
Lineage: Eukaryota; Metazoa; Chordata; Aves; Charadriiformes; Scolopacidae
Description: lncRNA (ENSCPUG00000015420.1)
Source: RNAcentral
GGUCGUUCACCUUCCUCGGGGGCUGCGCGCUCAGGAACCACAUGAUUUCCUGGGAGGUCCCACUCACUCUUGGCAAAAAAAACCAGAAACACAAACCAAAAACGAAACUGCUUGAUUUUUUGGGGGCUGAAGGGCGAGCUGCCUCCCAGCACCAUGGGGAUUCUCCUCAGGCAGGACAGCGGAGAAGGGAUGGAGGGCUACCACCCCCAGUGCCCCCACCCCGCCAAGAGAGCCUGGGUGACGUACGUGGCCGUGGUUCUUGGGGUGGCCGUGGUGGCACUGGUGGCAGCCCUUGUCACCGUCCUCUACCAGAGAGCCGAGGGCUCCGCCAUGGCGAGGAACAGCUCGGAAGUGCUGGUGCAGCUGGAGAAGGCACUGGAUGUCACCAACCAGUCCCUCGUCGAUGCCCGCGGGCGGUGGGAAGGGUGCAGGAAGCAGCUGGUAGGUGUUGGGGUGCUGCUUGGUGGGUGGAGGGGGGCAGGACCCUGUGGGGGAAAACUCUAGCCCCCCCCCCAGACCCAAACUGGCCACCUUUGGGUGGUGUGAGGGACAACCCGAGUUGGAGGGUCCAGCCCCUUCCUUCUGCCCAGGGUGCGCUGGAGGGAAAGGCCUUGGAACUGGAGUGGGCACUGGCCAAUGUCACCGAGCUGCAAGGUGAGUCCUGGGCAGGGUGGGGGGCGUGGGCAAUGGCCCCUGGGCCACCCUGAACCCCCUUCCCUCAGUCACCUUCAUCCCCAUCCCCUGGAAGACUCUUAUUCCCAUCCCCUGAGACACCCUGAUCCCUGUCCCCUUGGUCAUCCUGGUCCCCAUCCCCUGGGUCAUCCCCAUCCCCUGGGACACUCUCCUUCCUGUCCCCUGGGCCACCCUGAUCCCUGUCCCCUGUGUCAAUGUGGUCCCCACCCCCAUGACCACCAUGACCACCAUGAUCCCCAUCCCCUGAGACACCCUGAUCUCCAUCCCCUGGGUCAUCCUGAUCCCCAUCCCCAUGGCCACCCUCAUCCCCAUCUCCUGCAACACCCUCAUCCCUGUCCCCUCUGUCAUCCUGAUCCCUGUCCCCUUGGCCACCCUGGUCCCUGUCCCCUUGGCCAUCCUGGUGUCACCUCAGAGGAGAACAGGGCGCUCAAGGCGGAGGUGGCCCAGCAGCAGGAGCAACUGAGAGACCUGCAGAGCAAAUGGGAGAAGCUCCAGCUGCAGAACCAGAUCCUGGAGAACCAGCUCUGGGACAUGAGGAGCCAGCACUCGAAUGGGAACAGUCUCCAGGCCACGUCCCUCAGCCUCCUGGCUCUCCUCCUCCUCCUCCUCCCUGGGAUGCUCCUCCUGUGAGGGAGGGCAAGAACAUGGGCCCCACUGAUUCCUGACCCCCGAUGUGGGGUGAGGAGGGACCAUCCCCAUCCAGCCCGGUGGGGUCUGGGGGUGGCAGCGGGUUCAGUGCCACCCGUGGGAGCCCAGUGCCCGCUCAGCCCUGCCCUGUGACUGCCCACACUGUCCUGUACCCCCCCUGCACCUUCUCUCUGCUCACCAAACUGCCCCCCUUCACCCUGGGGACACCCCAGGGAUGUGAUUUCCCUCCAGCCACCAAGCACUGGCUCUUCCUAGGGUGAGGGAGGGGACAAGUGGACGGGCUGGAGGGGACAGAGACGUGUCAGGGCUGCUCUGAGUCGAGGGGACCACAAGCUCUACCCCAUUAGGUCAUUUUUUCAUUUUUACCCCAUUUCCAAUAAAACCUUUGUGAAACCCCA